UUCAUCGUUGGUCCGGUCACUCUAGUAACAAUUCCAUUUUAGGUUUCAAACUGUUCGGGAAGUAGAAACUCCAACUCGCGCGUGGUUUAUCAUCCAAUCGGCCAUGCCAGCUUCUUGAUUCAAUUUCCCUAAAUUUUCAGUGAUGGGUCGAAAGAAGCAAGUCCGGCCUCAUCGAUCAGUAGGGAUAGUAGAAAGAAGUGAUGCUGUAGGAGGUGAAUUGAAUGACCAAGAUGGUUCUGGAAGCCAGUCUGUACAAAAGGAUGAGUCUGUUAAUGUUGAUGAACCAUUUUUUGUUGAGGUUGAUCGAACAAAUUGGGUUUCAGAUGAGCAUUUUGAUAUUUCGGAAGUUCUUUUGAUGAAUUUGAAUUUAAGCACUGAGUUUUUGGAUUACAGACUGGAUGAGGAUUUUUAUGGGGAUUCGAAGUACUAUUUAAGAUUUAGACUGUGCAACAUAAAUGAGUUUCUCGGUCGUAUCAAGCUAGGACAUUGGCCUUUGUUAUCUGCCAGCAGUAUAUAUUUGGAGUUUAUAAAGAAGCACAUAUUGGAGGAUACGGAGACACAGGCUGUGAUGGUGUCAGGGAGUUUUGAUGGCCCGGACGAGGGUGUUUCUGGUCUUGUUCACUUGAUUAGUAUGAAGUAUUUGACAUUGAGACCGAUUACGGGGGUCACAUUUUCGGAGAGCAUGUCAUCUAUAAGGGUGAGAGUGGAGAUACUAAAGACCGCCUUUGAUGCCUGUGAGUCACUUCUUGAUAAUACAAGGCAAGUUUGGAAAAAGAGUAUGAUGAGUGUCAUGGCUUGGCUGCGUCCAGAAGUUAUGACUUCAGAGGCUAGAUAUGGUUUUAAUAUAUCAGCUGACGUGAAACUCAAUUUACCUAUGGAAACAGAUAUCGACUCCUCUAGCUCAAGGAAACGUAUCAGGUUUGAUGCUGCUGGGUUUUAUGAAGCCAUCAAACCAUCAAAAGGGGAUCCCAUGCUGGAGGAUAACAUACCUGGCUUGAUUCCUGAGCUUAGACCAUAUCAACGUCGUGCAGUUUACUGGAUGGUACAACGAGAGAAAGGAGCUUCUAGAUGCAUGGACGAAAGUGAAAGAACUCAGUUUCUUUCUCCUCUAUGUAUGCCUGUGAAUUCAAUUGAUACAUGUUUGAGAAUGUUUUACAAUCCAUUCAGUGGAAAUGUUUCAUUGCAUUCGGAGUACUCAUCAUCAUAUGUCUUUGGUGGUAUUCUUGCUGAUGAGAUGGGUUUGGGCAAAACAGUUGAGCUGCUUGCUUGUAUCUUUGCUCAUCGGAAGUCAACAUCUGAUGGUGGCAUUAUUUAUGACAACACAGUUCAAGUUACUGGGUAUCAGAAAAACCUCAAGAGAUUGAAAAAAGAGCGUGUGGAGUGUAUAUGUGGGGCUGUGAACGAAAGCUUUAGAUAUAAAGGAUUAUGGGUGCAAUGUGAUAUAUGUGAUGCUUGGCAACAUGCAGAUUGUGUCAGUUAUUCAACCAGGGGGAGAACUGCAGAAUCCAGAGAAGUCUCCAAAGAACAAGGAUAUGAAAAGAAGCCAACAGGAAGCUCAAGAAAGCACACAAAAAGGAAAAAUAAUACUAAAAUAGUGGUGAUGGAUGGGGAUUACAUCUGUCCGCUGUGCUCUGAACUUAUUCAAGCAACUGACUCUCCAGUUGCUACAAGUGCAACUCUCAUAGUAUGUCCGGCUCCUAUAUUGCCCCAGUGGCAUGAGGAAAUUAUUCGUCAUACAAGUCCAGGUUCCCUGAAAACUUGUGUUUAUGAAGGUGUCCGGAACACAUCACUUUCAAAUACAUCAGUGAUGGAUGUUAGUGAACUUCUCAGUGCUGAUAUUGUCUUAACAUCAUAUGAUGUCCUUAAAGAGGACUUAUCACAUGAUUCCGAUAGGCAUGAAGGGGAUCGCCGCUUUAUGAGGUUUCAGAAGAGAUAUCCCGUUAUUCCAACUCUGCUGACCAGAGUAUUCUGGUGGAGGAUUUGUUUGGACGAGGCUCAAAUGGUGGAGAGUAAUGCAGCAGCGGCAACAGAAAUGGCCCUGCGGCUACAUGCUAAGCAUCGUUGGUGUAUCACAGGGACUCCCAUACAACGCAAGCUUGAUGACUUAUAUGGGCUCUUGAGUUUCCUUAAAGCAAGUCCUUUUGAUGUCCUUAGGUGGUGGAUUGAAGUUAUACGAGAUCCAUAUGAGAGGGAAGAUGCAGGAGCUAUGGGAUUCACACAUAACUUCUUUAAACAAAUAAUGUGGCGUUCCUCUAAAGAACACGUAGCAGAAGAGUUACAGCUUCCUCCUCAGGAGGAGAGCCUCUCUUUCCUUUCUUUCUCAGCAAUUGAAGAGCAUUUUUAUCAGAGGCAGCAUGAAACUUGUGUGAACUACGCUAGUGAAGUUAUUCAGAGUCUCAAAAAUGAUAUUCUCAAACGAGAAGUUGCAGGUUCCAUCUCAUCUGUUGUUCCAUCCGAUCCUUUUAUUACCCAUGUGGAGGCUGCAAAGCUGUUGAACUCGCUCUUGAAGCUUCGCCAAGCCUGCUGCCAUCCUCAAGUGGGAAGUUCUGGGUUGCGUUCUUUGCAACAGUCUCCCAUGACCAUGGAGGAGAUAUUAUCGGUUCUUGUUGGUAAGACCAAGGUAGAAGGGGAGGAGUCACUCAGGAAAGCAGUUGUUGCAUUGAAUGGGCUUGCAGCAAUAGCUAUAAUUAAGCAAGAUUUUUCUCAAGCAGUAUCUUUGUACAAAGAAGCACUAGCUUUAGCUGAAGAGCACUCUGAAGAUUUCCGCUUGGACCCUUUGUUGAACGUUCACAUUCAUUAUAAUCUUGCUGAGAUACUCCCUAUGGCUUCAGACUAUUCACUAUGUUCCCAUUCAAAUGGGCAGUUACCUGAAAGCUCUGAAGUUAAGUCCUCCAGGAUGUGUGGUAUUCAUUACACGGUGAAGAGAAAGAAAGUGACUAGGGAAGGCUCAUCAAAUAUGACUAUUGAUGCUGAGAAUUUACCUGAGUUUACUUCUUACCCACCAUCAAAUGGGUUAAAUGGUGACAAAAAUUGUGAUGACGAGCCUCGCAUAUUAUCUAAAUUUUCUAGUGGUGGACAUUUAAGUAUGGCAUGUGAGAAUCUAAAGCAGAAGUUUUUAUCUGUGUUUAAUUCAAAGCUGUCCUUGGCUGGACAAGAGUUCAGAAAGUCACAUGAGCAGGUUUCUAAUGCACUUACGGAGAGAAAAAAUCAGCAUACAGCUUGGUGGUUCGAAACCCUUCAUGAUAUUGAGCAAAAUAAGGACUCCUCAAGUGAGCUGAUCAGAAAGAUUGAAGAAGCUGUGUCCGGGACUCUAAAUAUUUCUAGAACAUCAAGAAUCGCAUCAUGCUUUCGGAGCAUAACUACUCUAAAGUACUAUAUCCAGACUGGUUUGGAUUUAUUGGAAGACUCUAGGAAGAAAUUAGUUGAUAGACUUUUGGAAAUUGACCAGACUAUGGGAAAUCCUAGAUUAGAGGAUAUUGAACGUGUCAGAUACUGUCCAAACUGCCAGCCUAAUGGAGAUGGUCCAAUCUGUGUUCACUGUGAACUCGACGAACUAUUUCAGGUUUAUGAGGCCAGGCUCUUCCGUCUUAACAAAGGACAUGAUGGAGGGGUGAUUAUAUCUGCUGAGGAAGCAGUAGAUCUGCAGAAAAAGAAGUCUGCUUUGAAUCGUUUCUAUUGGACUUUAUCGAAGCCUGAUAAAAAUUCAACUUCAUCCAGUGUAAGAUAUGAAGACAAUGGAAGAAAGAGGGAUGUCGGCGAGAAAGUAGUGGUAUCAAAAUCUCCCUCAGAACUAGAAGUCGUUCUUGGAAUUAUAAGGAGCUACUGCAAGGCUUUUUUAGGUAGAGAUGGCUCGUUAGCAGCCACAAAACAGCUUCUUCUUCUUGAGGGAAUGCGGAAGGAGUAUGCACAAGCGAGGUCAUUAGCGAUUGCUCAAGCUCAAGUUUUACGUGCUCAUGAUGAAAUAAAGAUGGCAACUUCACGAUUGAGACUAAGAGAGAAUGAGGAUGAUAACUCUAUUGAUGCCUUGAGUCCUGGAGAACUAGAUGCAGCAGAUGCUGAAAAUUCUAGUGAUAAAUUCCUGGCCUUAAACUCAUUAUCACGUAUAAAAGGACAACUUCGAUAUUUGAAGGGUUUGGUACAAUCUAAACAAAAACCACCACUGGAGAGCCCAAAUAAGUCAUCCUUAACCCAAGUGACAGAUGUCUCUCUGACUUCUGAAGGUGGAGAAAACCAUUACCUGGUUAAAGCUGAUGAGGAAGCAUGCCCAGUUUGUCAAGAAAAGCUCAGCAACCAAAAAAUGGUUUUUCAAUGUGGCCAUGUUACUUGCUGUAGAUGUUUUUUUGCAAUUACGGAACAAAGACUAGCUCAUCAUGGCAAGUAUCAUCAUAAAUGGGUGAUGUGCCCAACAUGUCGACAACAUACUGAUUUUGGGAAUAUUGCUUAUGCCGAUGACAGACAAAAUACAUUAUGCAGUUCUUUUCAAGGUUGUGAAAGCUCUGAAGCUUCUGUAACUGUUCAAGGUUCAUAUGGAACAAAGAUUGAAGCAGUCACAAGGAGAAUCCUCCAGAUCAAAUCUACAGAUCCAAAAGCAAAAAUUCUUGUUUUCUCCAGUUGGAAUGACGUCCUUGAUGUGUUGGAACAUGCAUUCACAGCGAAUGCAAUAAGUUUUAUCCGGAUGAAAGGAGGCAGGAAAUCACAAGUUGCUAUCAGCCACUUUAAAGGACAGGAAAGCGGUGCAAAAAGAAGUGGCAAGAUUCGUGACCGGCGGCCAGAAACCAAAUUUGUUCAAGUGCUGCUGUUAUUAAUUCAACAUGGAGCCAAUGGCCUCAAUCUUUUGGAAGCACAGCAUGUUAUUCUUGUAGAGCCAUUACUCAACCCUGCAGCUGAAGCACAAGCAAUUGGCCGGGUGCACCGAAUUGGACAGGAGAAUAAGACACUGGUUCAUCGUUUCAUAGUGAAAGGAACAGUUGAAGAAAGCAUAUAUAAACUAAAUAAAAGCAGGAAUACAAAUACAAGUUCUUUCAUCAGUGGAAACACAAAGAAUCAAGAUCAGCCUGUUUUGACACUUAAAGAUUUGGAGUCCCUAUUUUCAGCAACGCGCUCCACCAUAACAGAUAGUGAAGAAAAGCCAACCGGAAGCUUAAUGCAUUUGCCACCUUCUGAAGCUGCUGUCCUGGCUGCUGAAAGAAGACUAACGGAGCACAAGUCGUGAUAUAAUGCAUUCAUUUUUGCCCCCUUUUCUUCACUGCCGGUAGAGCUGUGGAGACAACAAUGAACAGAGCAUAGAGCAUGAAGUUAUACAUGUCUAUUCGAAGAUGAGCUCCUUCUGUAACAUGGUAACGAGAGAUUCAGAAUGGAAGCAUCAAUUCUAAUGACCAGCUCGAACACGUGCAUGAUACGAGAUGAGAGCGGUCCCACAUCAUCCGUAGGUCACCCGGUGAAUAAAUUUUUUCUUGUACAUAUGUGUAUCACUAAAUUUGUUUAUAUCUAACGGUGAGACCACCAUUUUUUUGAGUUGUUCUGAUUGAUUCUGUGCAUUAGUAGAAUUUAAAUUACAAUUCACAGAUUUUAAUUCCUUUCAUGUGUAGGAGUCAACUUACUUUCUGCUUUGAAAAGUAUAUUCUUUAAAUGAAUAAAUAGUACUUCCAAACAUAGGAGGAACUCGAAGCUCCACUUACAGUGUACUAAGGUGUUAUUUGAUUAAAUUGAAAAUUACAGUAUUUUUUUUUAUUUUCAACAAUGAAUAAUAUUUAGUCACUUAAAUUUUGAGUUUGUAUUUUUUUUUUUAGUUUGUUGAAUUGAGUUAUCAAGAAGUUUGGUGAUUUAGUGUUUCGUGAAAUAUUAUUUCAGGUUUAAA
RNA transcript from Cornus florida, 5857 nucleotides. RefSeq lists it as uncharacterized. The transcript is spliced from 21 exons. Lineage: Eukaryota; Viridiplantae; Streptophyta; Magnoliopsida; Cornales; Cornaceae. The record is from RefSeq and is a predicted model, not a curated record.